This is a non-coding RNA of Pelobates cultripes (western spadefoot toad), 1093 nucleotides long. NCBI's taxonomy places the organism in Eukaryota, Metazoa, Chordata, Amphibia, Anura, Pelobatidae. The record is from the annotation of a GenBank genome assembly.
CUAGAGGCUCUGGAGGCUGGAUUAACCCUCAGUAUAAACAUAGCAGUUUCUCUGAAACUGCUAUGUUUAUUAAAAAAAAAAAAGGGUUAAUCCUAGAGGUACCUGGCACCCAGACCACUUCAUAAAGCUGAAGUGGUCUGGGUGCCUAGAGUGGUCCUUUAAUUUAAGUCACAAAAUGGCAUUUUUAACCAAGCAGUAUGUCUUCAUUGAACCACAGGGUACAACAUAAAUGAUUGCUUACAUAGCUUCAGUCCUUGACCUCCUUACUUCCUGUAACAUGGAUGCUGGACAUUGAUAGGAAUGUGGUAUGUGAUGACCUCAAUGCUGUCCUUUUGAGUCAGUUUGCUAAACGUUUUUCUGACCAUUUUCCACGCUGGAAACAUUAGCCGCACAAUGCUACUUUAUUUGCAGGUUUACGUGUGAUGCAGUGUUUGCAUUUUGCCUUGAAAAUUCAAGUUUGUUAAACAACGUGAAAGUGAUUCUACUUGACUUUUUCAUCAGUGAAAAAAUGUUGUCAUAUGUAAUUGUAAAGAUAUUAACUACCUAUUCGUCAAAUUCAGUGAAUGGAGAUCCCUGUUAAACUAGUGCUUAAAUUUCAUGUUUACGUCCUCUGUUUUGUCAGAAAUCCUAGGAUGGUGUAGACAGUGCAGGAAUUUUAUCAAAGUAACGACCAUGCUGGGUUAAAAAGGAUAUUCCAUUCUGGAAUAAGAUCAUUACAGACCAUGAUGGCUUUUACCAUCAUUGCCUCUUAAAGGGGUACAAAACAUGCAGGACUGUUCCUAUUUAAUGUAAAGCUAAUACAAGAAAAUGUUAAAAGUUCCUAAAAAUUUUGCAUUUGCACAUAUGUAGAGAUGCUGCAUCUGACCUCGUUCUCAAGACAAAACUCUCCUCUCGCUGUAAGCUAAGGGUUCAUGUGGCUGAUUGACUACCAAGCGAACAACCCUACACAGAGAAAUAAAAAGGUAUUAAUCUUCAGAAUAGAACAAUUUUAAUGAUAAAGACUCAGAUAUCAUUGCACUAUAACCACUUCAGUAAGAUUAAGUGGUGAUGGUGCUUAGUUUCAGUUAAAAGCAGGACUGUCACACCCCUCCCC